RNAcentral lists this ribosomal RNA (449 nucleotides) under uncultured bacterium. Its description in RNAcentral is "partial 16S ribosomal RNA". It matches the Rfam family "Bacterial small subunit ribosomal RNA", at positions 354 to 796 of the family's 1533-position model. The record is from RNAcentral.
GUCGAGAAUCUUUCACAAUGGGGGCAACCCUGAUGGUGCGACGCCGCGUGGAGGAUAAGGUCUUCGGAUUGUAAACUCCUGUCAUGCGUGAACAAGGUUGCUUGGUUAAUACCUGGGCAAAUUGAUGGUAACGCAAGAGGAAGAGACGGCUAACUCUGUGCCAGCAGCCGCGGUAAUACAGAGGUCUCAAGCGUUGUUCGGAAUCACUGGGCGUAAAGGGUGCGUAGGUGGCGUGGUAAGUCAGAUGUGAAAGCCCGGGGCUCAACCUCGGAACUGCAUCCGAUACUGCCAUGCUAGAGUACUGGAGAGGUGACUAGAAUUCUCGGUGUAGCAGUGAAAUGCGUAGAUAUCGAGAGGAAUACCAAAGGCGUAGGCAGGUCACUGGACAGUUACUGACACUGAGGCACGAAGGCCAGGGGAGCGAACGGGAUUAGAAACCCGGGUAGUCC